Molecule: ribosomal RNA, 423 nt
Filed under: uncultured bacterium
Lineage: Bacteria
Description: bacterial SSU rRNA
Rfam family: Bacterial small subunit ribosomal RNA
Source: RNAcentral
UAAGGAAUAUUGGUCAAUGGACGCAAGUCUGAACCAGCCAUGCCGCGUGAAGGAUGAAGGUCCUCUGGAUUGUAAACUUCUUUUAUCUGGGACGAAACACUUUGAUUCUUCAGAGCUUGACGGUACCAGAGGAAUAAGCACCGGCUAACUCCGUGCCAGCAGCCGCGGUAAUACGGAGGGUGCAAGCGUUAUCCGGAUUCACUGGGUUUAAAGGGUGCGUAGGUGGGUUGGUAAGUCAGUGGUGAAAUCUCCGUGCUUAACAUGGAAACUGCCAUUGAUACUACUGGUCUUGAAUCUUCUGGAGGUUAGCGGAAUAUGUCAUGUAGCGGUGAAAUGCUUAGAUAUGACAUAGAACACCAAUUGCGAAGGCAGCUAGCUACAGGGGUAUUGACACUGAGGCACGAAAGCGUGGGGAUCAAACAG